Mirounga angustirostris (Northern elephant seal) is the source of this 1643-nucleotide long non-coding RNA. RefSeq lists it as uncharacterized. The record is from RefSeq and is a predicted model, not a curated record. The transcript has 3 exons. NCBI's taxonomy places the organism in Eukaryota, Metazoa, Chordata, Mammalia, Carnivora, Phocidae.
UUGCCCCCAUCUGUCUGCCUUCAGUUCCCUUAUCACCUCUCGAGGGGCUCCACGAGGGAACUGCUAUGGUCUGAAUGUUGAAAAAAUUCAUCUGUUGAAAACCUAAUGUCCCGAGCGAUGGUGUUAAGAGAUGGGAUUUUCGGGAGGUGAGGAGGUCAUGUGUGCAGACCCUUGCAAAAGGCAUCAAUGCCCUUAUACAAGAGGCCUAGAAAGCUCCCUCGCCCCUUCCGCCAUGUGAGGAAACAGCAGAAAGCCCGCCUAGAAGGCGGACUCUCACCAAACACUGAAUUGUUGGCACCCUGAUCUUGGAUUCCUCAGCCUCCAAGACUGUGAGAAAUUUAUUUUUGUUGUUUACAAGGCACCUAGUUUGUGGUGUUUUGUUCAAGUAGCCCGAACAGACUCAGACAGAACCUAGGAGGAAACUGUUGCCGAGUGCAUGAAUGUGCACACACGUGUGUAAGGUGCACGUGUGCGCGUGUAGCUAUGAUAGCAGAGAAUAUAUGACCUAUUUCCCCGUGUCCCUUCUCCCCCCAUCCCCAUAUUUCCCAAACCAGAACUUGGGACAUGUGAUUUGAUAGGAAUUUUCGAAUUUGGGAAUUGAGGUAUGUGGAAAAAAAUGAAAUGAGGAAACACUUUUUCAUCUUUUUAAAUUAAAAAUAUAUAGUGAGGGGGCACCUGGGUGGCUCAGUUGGUUAAGCAUCUGCCUUCAGUGCAGGUCGUGAUCCUGGAGUCCCAGGACUCAGCAGGGAGUCUGCUUCUCCCUCUCCCUCUGCUCCUCCCCCUGCUCAUGCUCGUGCUCUCUCUCAAAUAAAUAAGAAUCUUUAAAAAAAAAAAGGUAAUAACAACCAACAUUUAUUUAAAAAAAAAAAAAUAUAUAUAUAUAGUGAGAUGUGAUUUUAAAAGACCAACGGGUGUUAUAUAUUGCUGGUGACAGUAAAACUAUCACAGGCUUCCUGGAUAUAUCAAGAGUCAUAAAAAUAUUUGUACCAUUUGACCAGUGGUCCUGUUUCUAGGAAUUUAUUACAGAAGAUGAUUGGGGAAUAUUUGGCAAUAGAAGAAAGUGCUCAUAAAUGACAGUCAUGCCUCUGGCAAGAAGACUGCCUGCCUCUGUGGCAUGGAAAUUAUGAAUAGGAAGACUUUGUAGCAGAAUAAGAAAAAAAAAAGAGAAAGAGCACACACAAGCAGGAAGGGGGAGAAGCAGAGGGAGAGGGAGAGAGAAUCUCAAGCAGCCUCCACACCCAGCGCAGAACCGGACGUGGGGCUCAAUCCCAGGACCGUGAGAUCACGAUCAGGGCUGAAAUCAAGAAUCAGACGCUCAACCAGGCCCGAGAAGAAUGUGCCGGACUUCCAUCUGCGGGACAUGCAGCUCCUGAGUCUACUUCACCUGCUAGGGAGCCUCGCUCUCACACGGGGGCCAGCACUGGGCACAGCAGCGCAAGAGUGGUUGAUGGGGAAGGCUUCCUCCUACCUCUGGGCCGAGGGGACUCGAGGGUCCAAGGCCACCUCCCUCCUGGAGUGACCUAGCUUCAGGAUGUGGCUGAUGGGACCCCGCAGAAGAAAAUGCAGACCUUGGGCAUAGGUCUCUGAGAGUCUCAGUGUGGCUGGGGAAGGUCAGCCUCUCCAGCCUGGUCUGUGAGCUACGC